CUUGGUUAUGACUAUUAUUUCAGGGCUUUACUAGGAGGUAAUGUUCCACAUGGCAGUGGAAGAAUAUGGUUAGACGACGUUCAUUGUGUAGGAAACGAAAAUAAUAUUUCGAGUUGUUCACAUAGAGGAUGGGGAUUGCAUUAUUGUAGACAUGAUGAAGAUGCUGGUGUACAAUGUUCAGAGAAAGAUUCGACAAUACCAGAGAAAAUGGGCAGUCCAUUGGCCAACUUUUCCUUGGAGGAAUAUGAUAAUCCUUAAAUUAUCAGUUUUGUUACGAUUGUUUACAUUCAUUAUAGCUAUUUAAAGCUG
Xenia sp. Carnegie-2017 is the source of this 309-nucleotide long non-coding RNA. RefSeq lists it as uncharacterized. NCBI's taxonomy places the organism in Eukaryota, Metazoa, Cnidaria, Anthozoa, Malacalcyonacea, Xeniidae. The record is from RefSeq and is a predicted model, not a curated record. The transcript is spliced from 2 exons.